AGCGAACGCUGGCGGCAGGCUUAACACAUGCAAGUCGAGCGGGCGUAGCAAUACGUCAGCGGCAGACGGGUGAGUAACGCGUGGGAACAUACCUUUUGGUUCGGAACAACACAGGGAAACUUGUGCUAAUACCGGAUAAGCCCUUACGGGGAAAGAUUUAUCGCCGAAAGAUUGGCCCGCGUCUGAUUAGCUAGUUGGUGAGGUAACGGCUCACCAAGGCGACGAUCAGAGCUGGUCUGAGAGGAUGAUCAGCCACAUUGGGACUGAGACACGGCCCAAACUCCUACGGGAGGCAGCAGUGGGGAAUAUUGGACAACGGGCGCAAGCCUGAUCCAGCCAUGCCGCGUGAGUGA
RNAcentral lists this ribosomal RNA (353 nucleotides) under uncultured bacterium. RNAcentral's name for it is "bacterial SSU rRNA". It matches the Rfam family "Bacterial small subunit ribosomal RNA", at positions 29 to 408 of the family's 1533-position model. The record is from RNAcentral.